Molecule: ribosomal RNA, 529 nt
Filed under: uncultured bacterium
Lineage: Bacteria
Description: bacterial SSU rRNA
Rfam family: Bacterial small subunit ribosomal RNA
Source: RNAcentral
AAUAGAUACCCCGGUAGUCCACGCCGUAAACGAUGAGUGCUAAGUGUUAGGGGGUUUCCGCCCCUUAGUGCUGCAGCUAACGCAUUAAGCACUCCGCCUGGGGAGUACGGCCGCAAGGCUGAAACUCAAAGGAAUUGACGGGGGCCCGCACAAGCGGUGGAGCAUGUGGUUUAAUUCGAAGCAACGCGAAGAACCUUACCAGGUCUUGACAUCCUCUGACAACCCUAGAGAUAGGGCGUUCCCCUUCGGGGGACAGAGUGACAGGUGGUGCAUGGUUGUCGUCAGCUCGUGUCGUGAGAUGUUGGGUUAAGUCCCGCAACGAGCGCAACCCUUGAUCUUAGUUGCCAGCAUUCAGUUGGGCACUCUAAGGUGACUGCCGGUGACAAACCGGAGGAAGGUGGGGAUGACGUCAAAUCAUCAUGCCCCUUAUGACCUGGGCUACACACGUGCUACAAUGGAUGGUACAAAGGGCUGCCAAACCGCGAGGUUGAGCGAAUCCCAUAAAACCAUUCUCAGUUCGGAUUGCAGG